This 73-nucleotide transfer RNA is filed under the name Candidatus Helarchaeota archaeon. RNAcentral's name for it is "tRNA-Thr". It matches the Rfam family "tRNA". From Rfam's summary of the family: Transfer RNA (tRNA) molecules are approximately 80 nucleotides in length. Lineage: Archaea; Promethearchaeati; Candidatus Helarchaeota. The record is from RNAcentral.
GCCUCUGUAGCUCAGUUGGUGGAGCGACAGAUUCGUAAUCUGUUGGUCGCGGGUUCAAAUCCCGUCAGAGGCU